GCUGGGUACAUUGGCACAUUCCUGUAAUCCCAGCAGCUUGAGAGGCUGAGGCAGGAGGAUCAUGAGUUCAAAGCCAGCCUCAGCACCUUAGGUAGUCCCUAAGCAACUCAGUGAGACCCUGUCUCUA
RNAcentral lists this small RNA (127 nucleotides) under Marmota monax (woodchuck). The record is from RNAcentral. Lineage: Eukaryota; Metazoa; Chordata; Mammalia; Rodentia; Sciuridae.